AAGGAAUAUUGGUCAAUGGGCGCAAGCCUGAACCAGCCAUGCCGCGUGCAGGAUGAAGGCCCUCUGGGUUGUAAACUGCUUUUAUCUGGGAAGAAACACCCCGUUUCUACGGGGCUUGACGGUACCAGAGGAAUAAGCACCGGCUAACUCCGUGCCAGCAGCCGCGGUAAUACGGAGGGUGCAAGCGUUAUCCGGAUUUACUGGGUUUAAAGGGUGCGUAGGCGGGCCUUUAAGUCAGUGGUGAAAUCUCCCGGCUUAACCGGGAAACUGCCAUUGAUACUAUUGGUCUUGAAUUCAGUUGAGGUGGGCGGAAUGUGUCGUGUAGCGGUGAAAUGCUUAGAUAUGACACAGAACACCAAUUGCGAAGGCAGCUCGCUAAACUGACAUUGACGCUGAGGCACGAAAGCGUGGGGAUCAAAC
RNAcentral lists this ribosomal RNA (420 nucleotides) under uncultured bacterium. RNAcentral's name for it is "bacterial SSU rRNA". It matches the Rfam family "Bacterial small subunit ribosomal RNA", at positions 356 to 773 of the family's 1533-position model. The record is from RNAcentral.